AUUGCUUCUCGGCCUUUUAGCUAAGAUCAAGUGCAGAAUAUGCU
RNAcentral lists this small nuclear RNA (44 nucleotides) under Cervus elaphus hippelaphus. Lineage: Eukaryota; Metazoa; Chordata; Mammalia; Artiodactyla; Cervidae. The record is from RNAcentral.